UUAAUAUUCUUAAGAUAAAAACUUACAGAACUUAUUUAUUACUAUGAACCAUUUUGAGUUGGCUGUUUGAUCUUUCGAAAUUUUGAUUUUACUACCAAACUUUUCAGUUUGUUUGAUUUGAAUCGGUCAACAAUAUUUUUAACUUCUGCAAUUCUCGCAACUAUACAUUUAUUAGAGUAAAUACUUCGCUUAAAAUUGGAAGUUAAAAUAUCGUUGACUGACUCAAAUCAAGUAAAUUGAAAUGUUGGAUAGUAAAAUCAAAAUUUUGAAAGAUUAGUUAGUGAAUGAAAUAUAUAAUCCAUAUAUACAUACAUACAAUAAUUUA
This 325-nucleotide long non-coding RNA is filed under the name Ananas comosus (pineapple). Its description in RNAcentral is "long non-coding RNA (ACOM_LNC008495)". The record is from RNAcentral. Lineage: Eukaryota; Viridiplantae; Streptophyta; Magnoliopsida; Poales; Bromeliaceae.